GGAUUUAAAAUUUAAUCCAAAGUCUACCAAAGUCAACAGGCGUCUUCCUGCUAACUGUAAUGCGUUUUGGAUUAGGUCAUAUUGUC
Non-coding RNA from Podarcis lilfordi (Lilford's wall lizard), 86 nucleotides. NCBI's taxonomy places the organism in Eukaryota, Metazoa, Chordata, Lepidosauria, Squamata, Lacertidae. The record is from the annotation of a GenBank genome assembly.